This 253-nucleotide ribosomal RNA is filed under the name uncultured bacterium. Its description in RNAcentral is "partial 16S ribosomal RNA". It matches the Rfam family "Bacterial small subunit ribosomal RNA", at positions 524 to 776 of the family's 1533-position model. The record is from RNAcentral.
UACGGGGGGGGCAAGCGUUGUUCGGAAUUACUGGGCGUAAAGGGCUCGUAGGCGGCCAACUAAGUCAUACGUGAAAUCCCUCGGCUUAACCGGGGAACUGCGCCUGAUACUGGAUGGCUUGAGUUCGGGAGAGGGAUGCGGAAUUCCAGGUGUAGCGGUGAAAUGCGUAGAUAUCUGGAGGAACACCGGUGGCGAAGGCGGCAUCCUGGACCGAUACUGACGCUGAGGAGCGAAAGCCAGGGGAGCAAACGGG